Molecule: long non-coding RNA, 172 nt
Organism: Myotis davidii
Lineage: Eukaryota; Metazoa; Chordata; Mammalia; Chiroptera; Vespertilionidae
Exons: 3
Source: RefSeq, a predicted model, not a curated record
CCGGGUCCCAGGCAGCCCACUUCACCCCCAGACGAUGGCUGAACCUGCAGGAGUACCAGAGCAAGAAGCUGAUGGCCGACAACGGAGUGAAAGUUCAGAGGUUCUUUGUAGUGGACACUGCGAACGAAGCUCUGGAGGCCGCUAAGAAACUGAGCUUUUGUUUGAGCGAAUA